RNAcentral lists this ribosomal RNA (484 nucleotides) under uncultured bacterium. Its description in RNAcentral is "partial 16S ribosomal RNA". It matches the Rfam family "Bacterial small subunit ribosomal RNA", at positions 30 to 507 of the family's 1533-position model. The record is from RNAcentral.
AUUGAACGCUGGCGGCAGGCCUAACACAUGCAAGUCGAGCGGAUGAAGGGAGCUUGCUCCUGGAUUCAGCGGCGGACGGGUGAGUAAUGCCUAGGAAUCUGCCUGGUAGUGGGGGAUAACGUCCGGAAACGGGCGCUAAUACCGCAUACGUCCUGAGGGAGAAAGUGGGGGAUCUUCGGACCUCACGCUAUCACAUGAGCCUAGGUCGGAUUAGCUAGUUGGUGGGGUAAAGGCCUACCAAGGCGACGAUCCGUAACUGGUCUGAGAGGAUGAUCAGUCACACUGGAACUGAGACACGGUCCAGACUCCUACGGGAGGCAGCAGUGGGGAAUAUUGGACAAUGGGCGAAAGCCUGAUCCAGCCAUGCCGCGUGUGUGAAGAAGGUCUUCGGGUUGUAAAGCACUUUAAGUUGGGAAGAAAGGCAGUAAGUUAAUACCCUGCUGUUUUGACGGUACCAACAGAAUAAGCACCGGCUAACUUCGUG